GAUGAACGCUAGCUACAGGCUUAACACAUGCAAGUCGCGGGGCAGCAUGGGGGUUGCUUGCAAUCCCCGAUGGCGACCGGCGCACGGGUGAGUAACGCGUAUCCAACCUGCCCUUCACCACGGGAUAACCCGGCGAAAGUCGGACUAAUACCGUAUGUUGUCCAUUGACGGCAUCCGAUUUGGACGAAAGGCUUGGCGGUGAGGGAUGGGGAUGCGUCCGAUUAGCUAGACGGCGGGGUAACGGCCCACCGUGGCUACGAUCGGUAGGGGUUCUGAGAGGAAGGUCCCCCACACUGGAACUGAGACACGGUCCAGACUCCUACGGGGGGCAGCAGUGAGGAAUAUUGGUCAAUGGGCGUAAGCCUGAACCAGCCAAGUAGCGUGCAGGAUGACGGCCCUAUGGGUUGUAAACUGCUUUUAUGCGGGGAUAAAGUGGCCCACGUGUGGGCUUUUGCAGGUACCGCAUGAAUAAGGACCGGCUAAUUCCGUG
This 490-nucleotide ribosomal RNA is filed under the name uncultured bacterium. Its description in RNAcentral is "partial 16S ribosomal RNA". It matches the Rfam family "Bacterial small subunit ribosomal RNA", at positions 28 to 507 of the family's 1533-position model. The record is from RNAcentral.